GACGAACGCUGGCGGCGUGGAUUAGGCAUGCAAGUCGAACGGUAUCAUCCUUUCGGGGGUGAGAGAGUGGCGAACUGGUGAGUAACACGUAGGUUAUCUACCCUCAAGACGGGGACAACCCAGGGAAACUUGGGCUAAUACCGGAUGUGAGCAACUUUUAGUUGUUUGAAAGGUGGCGUAAGCUGUCGCUUGGGGAUGAGCCUGCGUCCUAUUAGUUAGUUGGUGAGGUAACGGCUCACCUAGGCAAUGAUAGGUAGGCGGCCUUAACGGGUGGUCGCCCACACUGGGAUUGAGAUACGGCCCAGACUCCUACGGGAGGCAGCAGUCGAGAAUAGUCUACAAUGGUCGGAAGACUGAUAGUGCGACGCCGCGUGAACGAUGAAUCCCUUCGGGGUGUAAAAGUUCUUUUAUAUGUGAGCAGUGCUUCUUAUAUUAACAGUAUGGGGAGAGAGAUAUUAGCAUAUGAAUAAAGCAAACGGCUAAACUCCGUGCCAGCAGCCGCGGUAAAA
This 509-nucleotide ribosomal RNA is filed under the name uncultured bacterium. Its description in RNAcentral is "bacterial SSU rRNA". It matches the Rfam family "Bacterial small subunit ribosomal RNA", at positions 28 to 525 of the family's 1533-position model. The record is from RNAcentral.